This 179-nucleotide unclassified non-coding RNA is filed under the name uncultured Ascomycota. Its description in RNAcentral is "sequence contains ITS1". RNAcentral also lists the same sequence under 2 other names. Lineage: Eukaryota; Fungi; Ascomycota. The record is from RNAcentral.
UCCAUCCAAAACCAGCUGCGGUCGCGGCCCCACGCUUACCCGUGGCGGUACGCGCCGCACGUCUGCACCCUUUUUUUACGAGUACCUUCGUUCUCCCUCGGCAGGGCAACCUGCCGUUGGAACCAUACAAAACCUUUUUUUGCAUCUAGCAUUACCUGUUCUGAUACAAACAAUCGUUA